GGUCCAAAUUUGAAGUAGGGUAGAUUAGUAGGAUCAGCUAACCAUACUAAUCUACUACUUCAAGUUUGUACCC
Haemonchus placei is the source of this 73-nucleotide non-coding RNA. NCBI's taxonomy places the organism in Eukaryota, Metazoa, Nematoda, Chromadorea, Rhabditida, Trichostrongylidae. The record is from Rfam.